RNAcentral lists this long non-coding RNA (1424 nucleotides) under Chloebia gouldiae (Gouldian finch). RNAcentral describes it as "Erythrura gouldiae (Gouldian finch) lncRNA (ENSEGOG00005008304.1)". The record is from RNAcentral. Lineage: Eukaryota; Metazoa; Chordata; Aves; Passeriformes; Passeridae.
AGCAGCAUGUCACAAAGGGAGGUCAGAGAGUUCUGCUGAACUAGGCUAUUACCAUUAUUUUAGGUUCUUUAGGAUAACAAAACAUGGAAUUCUGUGCAAAAGCAAUGUAUUGUAGUACCUACCCCAGGUCUGAACAAAUCAUCUACAGUAGAGCAGUCCCUCAGAAAUGUUACAAACCCUGUUUGCCAAUUAAUAAAUGUUGAAUUUGUUUUACUUUUUGCUAAUAAGUAAACAAAUAUACGAUAAAAAAUUUUUCAGUGGGAUCUCUUUAGACAUGCUACUCCGUUAGUUCUGCUCAGCCUUCAGUCCCUAGCCCAUUAUUAAAUGCUACUUUAUUUUUGUAUAAAUUAUGCUCUUUAUAUCCCUUAGUUUUUAUGAGUUGAUAAUUUUAUUUUGUCUAUUUCAAACGUGGUUUAUUUCAAGUCCUGUAUUGUUACACUAAAAAUCUCCUGAUGUUCAGCUUCAGAAGGAAAUAACAAGUGUCUCUUGUAACAAUUAGCAGCACCCUUCUCUUAGAUGGUGGCCAACAAUCAUUAGACCUGCUGUAGAGCUUAGCAAUCCUUUAUUUAUUUUGUGUAGCAGUGUAAUCUGAAAAAGUUGCUGAAUUUUGCCUGCACACGGCGGCACUGCAGCGCCGGGUGCUGCGCGGUUGUGCCGGGGUGCUGAGCUGCCCAGUGCGGUGUCCCUGCGGCAGGCCCCGGGCAUGGCACUGCCAGGGUGGACAUGGCACUGCCAGGAUGGACAUGGCACUGCUGAGAUGGACAUGGCACUGCUGGGAUGGACAUGGCACUGCUGGGAUGGACAUGGCACUGCCAGGAUGGGCACAGCACUGCUGAGAUGGACAUGGCACUGCCAGGAUGGGCAUGGCACUGCCAGGAUGGGCAUGGCACUGCCAGGAUGGGCAUGUCUUGGGCUCCUCCUGAGGGCAGCGCCGACAGCGAGGGCUCAAGUUGUGCCUCCAGAGAAAACUGUGACACGUGAAAUCCACGUGAGACCUUCACAAGGGGGAAGGGAGCUUUUCUGUUGCACAGGAGAGGCAAAUCUAAGGAUUACUGUAAAAUGAAGUUCUGUCUAAUGUUCCUUUUUUGAGUACAUUUUUUAAAUUAUAAAACAUACAAAGGUAAACGAAGAAAACUUGCCAAGUAUGUUCUGUGUAUGUUCUGUGAAAGUACCUACAGCACAGUUGCCUUUUCUCAUUUAUACGUGUAAAAUUAUUGUAUUAUAUGACACAGUUUUGUCCCAACACGACUGUAUUUGCUAAGCUUUGUGCAUUGAAAUAUUUUUAUUUAUUUGGUUUUGGGCAGUAUUAAUAUAUCAUAAACAUAUGGUUACUGUUUUAUAUAUUCUAGUUCAUCCAGUCCAUGUAUGCUGUAAAUGUGCUAGUCUUUAGGAUGAAAACCAAUAAAGAACUGACAAGAAUAACA